This 73-nucleotide transfer RNA is filed under the name Zootermopsis nevadensis. It matches the Rfam family "tRNA". Rfam says of the family: Transfer RNA (tRNA) molecules are approximately 80 nucleotides in length. Their secondary structure includes four short double-helical elements and three loops (D, anti-codon, and T loops). Further hydrogen bonds mediate the characteristic L-shaped molecular structure. tRNAs have two regions of fundamental functional importance: the anti-codon, which is responsible for specific mRNA codon recognition, and the 3' end, to which the tRNAs corresponding amino acid is attached (by aminoacyl-tRNA synthetases). tRNAs cope with the degeneracy of the genetic code in two manners: having more than one tRNA (with a specific anti-codon) for a particular amino acid; and 'wobble' base-pairing, i.e. permitting non-standard base-pairing at the 3rd anti-codon position. The record is from Rfam by way of RNAcentral. Lineage: Eukaryota; Metazoa; Arthropoda; Insecta; Blattodea; Termopsidae.
GCCACGGUGGUCUAGCGGUUGGAACGCUGGCUUUGUGAUCCUGGGGUCUCGGGUUCGAUUCCCGGCGGUGCCC